Molecule: long non-coding RNA, 493 nt
Organism: Lolium rigidum
Lineage: Eukaryota; Viridiplantae; Streptophyta; Magnoliopsida; Poales; Poaceae
Exons: 3
Source: RefSeq, a predicted model, not a curated record
GUGAGGGACCUCGCCGGCAUUCAACGUGUACGACUGGAAGGGGGAGAGGGUGGCGCCACUGCUGCAAGUCUACAACUGCGGUGUCUCCCUUCGUGCAGCGCACGAGGAGGAGAGGGCGCGGAAUAGGGGUACUAGGCCAUGCCUGCACUUCUAUUGCUUCUUUUGAAAGACUGAGAUUUAUUCUAUUUGACGAGUUUGGUGGCUGCAAAUUGUCUCAUGCAAGGAACAUCGAUCCGGACGCGGUUCCGAGAUGCACAUUGCAGGACCAGAUAAGCACCGUCGCUUCAGCCUUCAGAGAGGAUUCUCCAACCAAUUGAGCAGCACCUUCAUCGAUCUGUGCGAUUCUACAGUUGAGAUAGAAUUGUUGAUGUCGAAGUUUACUAAGCUAAGCUUUGAGAUGGGAAAGACGGUAUUUGGAAUAACCUCAAUAUUACCUUCUGGUCUAUUGGAUCAAUAUAAUCGACAAGUCUCAGAAAAUAUAUCAUCAACUAUA